ACGAAUAAUCAUGGUGUUGGUUGUCGCUGGCUCCUCGGAGCAAUGUGCACGCCCACCAUUUUUAUCUUUCCACCUGUGCACCGACUGUAGGUCUGGAUACCUCUCGCCUCCUCGGGGGCGGAUGCGAGGAUUGCUCUCUCGGGGGCUCUCCUCGAACUUCCAGGCUCUACGUCUUUUUACACACCCCAAUAGUAUGAUUCAGAAUGUUGUCAAUGGGCCUUCACAAGCCUAUAAAACAAAAUA
RNAcentral lists this unclassified non-coding RNA (243 nucleotides) under soil metagenome. Its description in RNAcentral is "partial internal transcribed spacer 1". The record is from RNAcentral.